This 431-nucleotide ribosomal RNA is filed under the name uncultured Bacillus sp. Its description in RNAcentral is "bacterial SSU rRNA". It matches the Rfam family "Bacterial small subunit ribosomal RNA", at positions 93 to 510 of the family's 1533-position model. The record is from RNAcentral. Lineage: Bacteria; Bacillati; Bacillota; Bacilli; Caryophanales; Bacillaceae.
UAGCGGCGGACGGGUGAGUAACACGUGGGCAACCUGCCUGCAAGACUGGGAUAACACCGGGAAACCGGUGCUAAUACCGGAUAAUCCUUUUCCUCUCAUGAGGAAAAGCUGAAAGUCGGUUUCGGCUGACACUUACAGAUGGGCCCGCGGCGCAUUAGCUAGUUGGUGAGGUAACGGCUCACCAAGGCGACGAUGCGUAGCCGACCUGAGAGGGUGAUCGGCCACACUGGGACUGAGACACGGCCCAGACUCCUACGGGAGGCAGCAGUAGGGAAUCUUCCACAAUGGACGAAAGUCUGAUGGAGCAACGCCGCGUGGGCGAUGAAGGCCUUCGGGUCGUAAAGCUCUGUUGUUAGGGAAGAACAAGUACCGGAGUAACUGCCGGUACCUUGACGGUACCUAACCAGAAAGCCACGGCUAACUACGUGCCA